GCAAACUUGGUCAUUUAGAGGAAGUAAAAGUCGUAACAAGGUUUCCGUAGGUGAACCUGCGGAAGGAUCAUUACAGAGUAACGGCGCCCUCUGGGCGCCUACUCCCACCCUAUGUUUACCCGACCUCUGUUGCUUUGGCGGGCCGGUUCGCGCCGCCGGCCUUUUUUGGCUGGAGAGCGCCCGCCAGAGGACCGUUUAAACCUGUCAAUUGUGGAAUCUGAGUUUUUUGAAAAUUGAAUCAAAACUUUCAACAACGGAUCUCUUGGUUCUGGCAUCGAUGAAGAACGCAGC
Molecule: unclassified non-coding RNA, 291 nt
Filed under: uncultured fungus
Lineage: Eukaryota; Fungi
Description: partial contains small subunit ribosomal RNA, internal transcribed spacer 1, and 5.8S ribosomal RNA
Rfam family: Eukaryotic small subunit ribosomal RNA (bases 1-73)
Source: RNAcentral